RNAcentral lists this unclassified non-coding RNA (342 nucleotides) under [Candida] sp. JCM 16821. RNAcentral describes it as "partial contains ITS1, 5.8S rRNA and ITS2". The stretch from base 82 to 231 matches the Rfam family "5.8S ribosomal RNA". Lineage: Eukaryota; Fungi; Ascomycota; Saccharomycetes; Saccharomycetales. The record is from RNAcentral.
UUAGCGAGUGUUUGGGUGACUGUUUUGGCAGCGCCCGAUCUUAAAAACUAUUAUUUUUUAAUCUGAAACCAAGAAAUUUAAAACUUUCAACAACGGAUCUCUUGGUUCUCGCAUCGAUGAAGAACGCAGCAAAGCGCGAUAGGUAAUGCGAAUUGCAGACGUGAGUCAUUGAAUCUUUGAACGCACAUUGCGCUACUAGGUUCUCCUAGUAGCAUGCUUGUUGGAGCGCCGAUCUUCCUCCCAACCUAUCUAGGUAUGGGGUACUGCUCCUUUUAGGAGUUAAAAUCAUGGAAGUGCACACGUUAGUUAACUCUGUGCAGUUAAUAUAAUUUUUGGCCCCCA